GCGAUGGUAGCUCAGUUGGACGGAGCACCCCUCUGCUAAAGGGAUGGUCGAGGGUUCGAGAGUCCCUCCCAUACCC
This 76-nucleotide transfer RNA is filed under the name Notoacmeibacter marinus. RNAcentral describes it as "tRNA-Ser". It matches the Rfam family "tRNA". From Rfam's summary of the family: Transfer RNA (tRNA) molecules are approximately 80 nucleotides in length. Their secondary structure includes four short double-helical elements and three loops (D, anti-codon, and T loops). The record is from RNAcentral. Lineage: Bacteria; Pseudomonadati; Pseudomonadota; Alphaproteobacteria; Hyphomicrobiales; Notoacmeibacteraceae.